UUUGGCUAUUUGCAAAGCGGUCCACAAUGGCAACGGUGUCUCCGCUAGUUGAGAACAGCACCUGAUCGGUCUGGAGAAGCCCGCGGUUGUUUUGGAGAUUUGUAAAGUAGUGGUUGUCGAAGGCAUCGCGGGUGGACUGGUCAAGGUCAUUCAACGUAUCUCCGCUGCCGUUUUGAGGACAUGCUUGGCGGAGGGUUUCCAAGUAUCCGGCUUCAAUGGUCGGGUCCGGGUUGCCAGUGCCGCUGAAAUUGUAGAGGCGGUGAACGAAAGUUGAACAUCUUGCCCGUCCAAAUGUAUGAGCACCUAAGAAAGGAAACAACUACAUUUAAAUCUUUCAAAAUAAUUAGAGGUUGACUUAUUAAUUGGUGUAUACUACUAGGUUAAUCUGGUAAUUAGUUGUACUAUUAUUCUGGUCAAUUGCGUGUCUAUUACUAGGGUUACCUGAUAAAGCAACCAGAUCAGUGGAAUCUAAUCCUGCAUCGCGAAAUUUUUGUGAAAUUUGCUCAAGGUUUUCGAGAAAGCUUGGAAUGGCACUGGUACCAGCUCGGUUGGCUGUCCUACUGUCUCUUCUUCCCAAUUGAGCUUCCCACGUUGGCCCUCCAUUCUGCAACAAUACCAAUAGAAGUAUUAUUUGAGGAACUAUUUGGACAAUAAUAUAUCAGGAACUGCUUAAAUAUAUAUGCUCCAAAUUUCCAAGAAUUGUUCAUUAAUCAGAUUGUCUCUUCACCGCCAUUCGCUUUCUUUUUUAUUUUCCUUGGGACUGGUUCUCAGAUGGAAUAUUGACCAUUUCCCAAUUUCUUUCAGGGCUUGGUCCUCCUCUUAAAUAUCAGUUUUUAUUUUUUAAAUUUUAUUAAAUAACGUAACGCGAAUUAAUUAAUUAAAGUAAUUAGAACUUUUAAUAGGUACGUACCGCAGAAACAAGAAUUUGAGAAGCAAUUGCUAAAAUGUCAGAACAGGAGACAACACCAGGGCAAACAUUCUCGACCGCAGUUUUGAUAUCAUCUACAACGUCGUACCCGUCUGUCGAUUGAUUGGGAGGUGCAUCUUUCUCGCUCUCUAUCCCAUCUGUGUUGUCCAGCAUAAUCGAUCCAUCACAACCCUGCAUGCAUGCACCGUUACCAUUAUAUUAAAUUUAAUUAUUAUAGCACAUAAAAACACUAUUCUUGUUUUGACAGAGAGUCCGUUAUUAAUAGCCGGGUUGUCCAUAUAUUGGUUAACGACAUAUCAAUGGAAAAACUUUUUGACGUCCUAGCAAUCCAUUAUUAACAUUAUCGAUACAAAAUCCAUCAUUUAUAAAAAGCGGAUGCUCAUGCACAUAGAAUUUUUUGUAAAAUAUAUAUCACAUUAUAUGUUAUUGGAUGAUAUUUUUAACACUAUAUAACAUAUUCUUUAAUGAAUUACAUACGUUGACAAAGCAGUCGUGGAAAUGAACUCGGAUGAGUUUGGCACCAAUUCGGAUGUCAUUCUGUUGAGCUUGCUCGACCACACCACGAACAAUGCUCGUCACAUUCGGGCAUGUGGUGCUGUAGAAAGUUGAGCUCAGUUGAGCGUUGGAAUUUCCCAAUAUCGUAGCAGUAACAAGAACAAAUAUUGCUGCUGCAAUUGAAAAUAAAGACAUGAUGAUUAAUUAGGAAACUCAAAAUUGCGAGGUUGCUAUCUAUAGUUAUACUAGCUCUUAUGUUGGGAGAUGAGAUGGCUUCUAUGAGGCUAAUACUCUACCCUUUUAUAGAGAGAGUAGUAGGUGAGAUUUCAGGGAUCUAAGAGACAUGUAUUUUGUGCAUACUAUAAGCAAAUGACCAGAAUGAUCGUUCUUUGAAUAUUCAUAUGUUGAUAUUUUCAGACAAUUAAGCUGAUGUGGGCCUAUUAGCAAUCAGGAACUUUUCUACGUAAUGCUUGUAAGUUGAAGAAUUUUCAAACUUUCCCCGUGGAGGGCGCGCGCAAUUAUUUUAAUCAAAGUUUUGUAUAUAUUUCAAAGAGUAAUGUUAGGACAAUUUGUACAUUAAAUUAACAAAUUAAAUAAUGUAUCACUAAUAAAAAAUAAGCACGUUAAUCAUCAAUUUUUAUGUUAUUUAGUUUACAAAAUUUUGUCUCUACAAAUUUAAUUUCUCUAGCGUUAUUCUAUUUCAAAAGUCCAGGGGCAAAAUAUGGGUAAUAUUAGGGAGACUAAAUUUGUAAACAAAGUUUACAAACUAAAUAAUGUGUCAUCAAUAGGAAUGAACACGUUUAUUAACGCUUAAGUAUUAUUUCAAUUUCAACUUCUAUGUUAUUUAGUUUACAAAAUUAGUCUACAAAUUUAAGGACUUGGAUUGUCUGCCCUCCCCAUCCGGUGCCCUCCCCAUGCCCUCCUAUAUUAUGUGGUCACGGUUAAGCCACGUUAACAUUUUAUAUUGAUUUUUUUGUAGAAAUAAUAAAACAAAAAAUAAUUAGAAUAUAAAAUGUUGACGUGGCUUAACCGUGACCACAUAAAUAGGAGGGCAUGAGAAGGGCACGGGAUGGGAAGGGCAGACAAUCCAAGUCCCAAAUUUAGUAUCCCUACCAGUACCGCCAUAUAUGGUAACUCUAUUGAUGACUUAAUAUAGUAAUAAAUUCAGCAAGAAAAGAAUGGGUCUGGGGAAGAAAAAUGGAAUCAUGAAGCAAUGAUUGUCAAUUCGAUCAGCGAAUACACCAUCUGCUUAAUUAACAUGUCCUUGAAUAAAGGUUAUCACAGUCUGAUUAAGACACUUUUCCAAAGUUAAAAAAACGCCCUACUUUAUUUGACUGUCCCACUGAUUAUGUGCCCAAAUCUAUAAUUUGCAGAAAUUUGUUUCCAUACAAUUAGGGUAUGCAUGCUUAUGGAUAACAUACAGUAAUGAGGUUUACCAAUUUCUUCCAUGCAUGCAUAAUAAACAUAGGGAUUUUGGUAUACUUUUCUUUGUGUAAAGGUUAUCACAGUUUGAUUAAGACACUUUUCCAAAUUUCAAAAUGCCUUACUUUAUUUGACUGUCCCAGCGGUUAUUUUCUCAAAUUUAUAAUUUGCAUAAAUUUUUUAUCGAUACAAUAUUAAUUAAGCAGAUGGUGAUCUGGAUGACAAUAUUGAUUAAGCAGAUGGUGUAUUCACUGAUCUAACUGUAACUAGACAUAUGGAACUAAUUAGAGGUAAAUCAACAUUGAUGAGAAGAGAAAUUCAUUAGACCAAAACUAGCUUAUUCGUUAGAUAAAAUGAAACUAAGGUUUUGUUUGGUAUCUAGGAUUGAAUUAAAAUGAAUAACUUCCAUAUUUAAAAUAUCUUGAAGGAGUAAAUGAAAAAAUUGCAUCUUACAUGAAUGUAGACGGAUAAUUACUCAUUCAGAAAACUUAUGCAUGCCAAUGCCUUCCAAAAUUGGAGAAUUAAUUAGAUAAGUUUUCUCCAUAUCUAAUCCCUUCAAAUGAAAAAAAAAAAAUCUUUUAUGUGUAUCUUAAAAUAUGCCAUGAAUUCAUGAGGUUUCAAAUCCAGAUACCAUAAGUUCUAAUUCUAGUCACCAAACGACACCUAAGUGUUUAGACCCUGAAAUCAAUAUUAUAUAUUUCAUACAACAUGAAGUAGUCUAGCAGAGUCUAUUGUUGAUAUAUUUCAUACUGCGCGCAUUGUCUUGCAAAAAUUGGCCUUUCUCAGAAGCAAAAGUGUGAAUAGAUUGAUGCCCCGCUUAGUAUUGUCACUGACAUACUUGUUGAGGAAAGUGUAUGCAUGUAUGCUUAGAGAUGGAUUGGUUUUUGUAAUGCUUUUGAUGAAAUGAAAUCUAUUAUUGUAAAAGAAGAGACUUCUUCAAUUUGGAUAUUGUGGGGAGUAGGAAACAUAUGUAUGAAGAUCCCAGCAUUCUAGAAAUUUUGUAUAUGGAUUGGAGUCUUUGGAGCCAAUUGAAGAACUUCUAUCAGUUUGUCUAACCGUGUGGGUACGAACUCUGUAUGGACCCGCUCAUAAAUAAGUAGGUGUACAUAUAUUAUCAAUGGAUAAUAUUAGCAUCCUAUUACGGAAUACACAUAUCUCAGUUUCCAUAACGUAUGUUUAUUACAUUGUACCACCUCAGGUUUGGAAUCUAUUACAAUCGCAUACAACAUUUCAGUUUCCAUAAUGUGUGUUUAUUACAUUGUACCACCUCAGGUUUGGAAUCUAUUACAAUCGCAUACAACAUCUUCAAAACAUUUCACUUUCAUACCUCACCUACUAUUUUAUUUCAAUAUAGUAUCUCCAUUACAUUUUUCAUUUAUUGAUCAGUUAAGAGCUGACGUGACUGCCAAAUUUGUGUCACGUGGCAAAAAAAUAAUUUUUUAUUCAUUUAAAAAUAAUUAAUUAAAGAAAAAUUAAAAAUAAAUAAUAAUAAUAAAUUUAAAAAAAAACCAUAACCAUCUUCUUUCCCCGAGACCCCUCCUUUCCCUGCAACCUAAACCCCUUAUCCCACCCCACCCCACCUACCGUAACCCCACACCCCACCCCAUCCCACCCACACCUCCACCGAAAACCCUAAAAAAACCCAGCUGGGUUUUUUGCAGAGGACACACAGAGAUUCCCCCACGAAGACAAAGAGAAGAAGACGGGUUAGGUCUUGUAGCAACUUUCUCCUUCUCAGUCCACUUCUCCUCUCUCUCUCUCUCUCUCUCUCUCUCUCUCUCUCUCUCUCUCUAGAAUUCCCUUUGCUUUGCCCUUCCCAAAACCCCCACUCCCUUAUUUCUUCUCGGGAAUUCAAUUCCCCCUUUUGAUUUUGGGGUUUUGGGUUGAACAACUGGGUUUUUUUUGGGUUUUGGGUGGGGCGGGUGGGGGGGGUUGCGGCGGAGAUGGGGGCGGGGUAGGGUGGGGGUGGGGUGGGAUGGGGUUUUUUUUUAUAAACUUUUUUUAAAACUUUUCUUUAAUUAAUUAUUUUAAAUGAAUAAUUUUUUUUUUUUGCCACGUGACACAACUAUGGCAGCCACGUCAGCUCUUAACGGAUUAAUGAAUGAAAAAUGUUAUAGAGGUACUAUAUUGAAAUAAAUUAGUAGGUGAGGUAUGAAAGUGAAAUGUUUUGAAGAUGUAUGCGAUUGUAAUAGACCUCAAACCUGAGGUGGUACAGUGUAAUUUACCCUAAAAUUUAUAAUCAAAACCGUUUACUCUAUUAGUUUUUAUUUGAAGAUCAUUCUACAAAAAAAUUUUGAAUUGGAGAUUGUUUUAGUCAUCUAAAUUUAUGGAAUAAAUCAACAAUGUGAGUACCUAAUAACAUAUUCAUAAUGAAUCAUUCAUUUAUCUGAUAUAUUUGAAUGACUAAUCUCCGAUUCAACUAUUUUUUUUUUUAAGGAUCAUCUUCAAAUGAAGAUUAAGAAUUGAACGGUUCUAACUAUUAAAUUUAUUGCAAGGAGUAGUAUAUGUGCAUCUCUCCGGGGGGGGGGGAUGCAAGUACUAUAAGAGAAAAUUUUCAAUUUGCCCGAAAUAUAAGCCGGUACACCACAUAUCAUAAUAUAAGUGGAAGGAGAAAGGAGACUGAAAAAGAUAUCAUCUCUACUUAUAUUAUGAUACGUGGUGUACUAGUUAUUUUCCAAGUACAUGAGAAAAACCUCUCCUAAUCUAGAAUAGUAAAGAUGCCCUCGUCCACUUAUAUUAACACAGGUGUACCAUUUUUUGUUCCGACCGUACAUAUAAAAAUUUCUCAACGUUUGCCUACAUUUUGACCUCCAAUAUAUUAGCUUAUGGCUCGUUUGGAAGUAUUUUUAAAAUAAUUGAAGGCUCUUUUGGUGAAAAUAUUUUUGAAACUAAUUUUUAGUAAAAAGAGUAAUGCUACAUUCACCACAUAGUUAUACUAUCAUUUGUACCAUCUCUCCAAUAUAGGUAAGGCCCACCAACAUAUGUGGGUUCUAUUUCUAUUAGAGAGAUGAUACAAAUAUGUGGUAAUUUUAAUAUUUUAGUAGUAAAAAUCCAAGUAGAUCCUGCAAAAGCACUUGAAGUGCUUCUUGUGAUUUUUGCAAGAAGCACAUACAUCAUAUAUGGUGCUUUUUCCAAAAAACAUUUGAAGUGCUUUUGGAACCCAUUACUUUCACCAAAAGUUGUUUAAGUCAUUUUAAGAACACUUUCAAACAAACUCUUAAUUAAAAAAAAAAUUGCCAAUAUUUAAUCUGCUCAACAAUCAACUGAAUCAAGUAAGUAACUCUGAAGUUAAUUUACUGUUAGGUAUAUGUAUUGGCGAAUGCAGAAAAAAAACCAUUAAUUGAGCUUGAAAAUAAACAAAAACAACAAGAGUCAGCAAUGUGUGCUCUGCAAUAAUCAGCUCCUUUAUUUAUUUAUUUUUAAAUGUCUCCUUUAUUUAUUUAUUGGGAAAUUGCACCUUUUUUUACUUUCAUGUCAGUAAUAUCUAACGUCACAUUCAUGUCUGACAGAUGGAUAGAGAGAGUCAAAUAAAAUAUAAUUAAAAGCCUUUAUGAUUGUGGAUUAAUUUGAGCAUAUUGUAUUAUUGUACGACCUUUUUUUGUUGGGACAAAGAUUGUCUCCUCAUUGUUCCUGUGUCAUUCCAUGCUUUUCUGUUUGUGUGGUCACGGUUAAGUCACGUCAAUAUUUUAUAUUACUAUUUAUUUUGUCUUAUUAACUUUAUAAAAAAUAAUAUAAAAUAUUGAUAUGAUUUAACUAUGAUCACAAAAAAUAGAAAGGUACGGAAACAAGGAAGGCAUACAAUCUUUGUCCUUUUUGUUGAGCACUAAGAUUUGGUUUCUAGAGGGCUGACUGCUACUAUGUCGUUAUAAGGAUAAUAUAAAUUAACCAGAAGAACUUUAAUUAGUUGCCUAGUUGAAUAUUCUGGGCCUAUUUCAGCUGAAUUUUCAUCUAAGCUAACCAAUAGCAAUUCAUGGCACAUGAUGAAAUACUAGCAUGCAUGCAACCAAAUCUUAAAGAAAAUGACAAAAAUAAUUUCUUUUUUGACGGCUAGUAAAACUGUUAUAAUCAUAUUAUAUAUAGAAAAUUAUUUCUUUUCUGCUGAAUUUUCAUGCAAGGAGCCAACAAUCAUUAAUGACAUACAGGAAAUGACAUGCAUAUACGGAUGCCUCCCAAUUUUCGAAAACGAAGGAUAAGAUUUGGUCGUUCUUGACAGCAUAAUAAUCCCAUGAAAGGAAAAACAUCAAGUUGUGGAGGUAUGAAUCCAAAUGUUUUAGCUGAGAGAUUUUUCAGCUGUUUUUUAUUGUAGUAGAAUGUGAGCAUGCUCAAUGAACAUAAAAAUAUCUUUGACAGAAAAAAUGAGAGGAAAUAAGAGAAUAAAAACAAGAAAAUUAAUUCCAAGUUGAAAAGCAAAUUAAUAUCUUUGGUGGUAAAACUGUUAUAGUUAACAUAGUUGACACCAAUGAACGUAGUCAUCAAAUUUAGAUAAUGGUGACACUCGGGUUUACAAAGCCACUGAUAAGAAUGGUGCGCUCAAAUAACUGCCCUAUAUAGCACAUUUUAUUGUAGUGGACCAACUUUUCAACAGACCCACUUAUGCACGGGUUGUUGGACUAAACAUGUGAUGGUGGUGGAGAGUAUGUCGGUAUUCAAUUUCAAAGUUUUCUUAGGGCUAAAGGCAUUGUUCAUCAGCUUUCUUGCUCAUACACUUAUGAACAUAAUGAAUUAGCUAAAAGCAAAAUAGACAUGUUAAAACAAAUAUUACGCUUCUUCAACAAGCUUCUUUAUCAUCAGGGCCAGCCCUGAAAAAUUGGGGGCCUUAGGCGAGCCUUCGAGUGGGGUCCCUAAAAUUCUUUGACACCCAACUCAUUGUACAUUUAUAUGUAUAAGAAAAUGUUUCACUAAAUACAUGAAAAAGUUCAUUUCUACAUCAAAAAUCAUUAGAAUUCAUAUCCAAAGAUGAAAGAUAUGCAAACAUUACUUAAAUAUUACACGUCUCACGUUUUUAGAUGCAAAUGUAUUAAUUAAGUUUACAUAAUUUAACUUUUCAACCAAUUCUUUUUCAAUUGACAAAAUAGCUAACACAUUCAAUCUUUCUUGUGACAUAGUUGAUCGAAGAUACGAUCUGAUCAACUUUAAUUUUGAGAAACUUUUUUUUGCAGAGGCAACUGUAAUGGUUAAUUCAACAUCGAAACUUUGAAUUAUCUUGAACCAAAACUAGUUAUGAAGCAAAAGUAACCAUGUGAAAUCCCGUUCGUGGAUUUCACUGUUAUAAUCUACGUAUUUGUAUUAUUGAGAUUUUAUAUUAUUUCUUGAGAAUUUAUUUUAAAUUGUUUGAAUUUAGAUUUUAAUUAAACUAGUUACGAAGUUUGAAGUUUGGAAAUUAAUUAUUUAAAAUCCGUAGACCUUUCGAGGUCACAAUUUCUAUUUUCGAAUAGAUCUUGAAACCACGAACGUAUAGGCGAAAGCCGUUUGCGAGUCUGAAUUAUAACGGUAUAGUAACAGACAUUUGAAGUUGUUUUACUAAACUAUAGAUUUUAAAUCAUUUAAACUUCCAUAAGGAAGAAGCCUAAUUAGAUUUAAGUAAAAAUAAGAGGACCAAUCAAUUAGAAAGAGAAGGAGGAAUCAAAUUAAAAAGGGGAAGGUUUCUGAAAAAAAAGGGAGAGGGGUUGCUGCUAACCCGUUUUGGGGGUGAAUUGGAUCCAUUAACCCACAAACUUGACCCACUUGUAUCUCCUUCAUCCGAUCUCCGUUUUGGGUGAUCUUGGUGUCCAUUGAAAGCUCUUGAUGAGCCCUACAUCUCUGCAAUGUUAGAUUUCCCAUUUUUUAAUCCAAUUUUUCCAGUUCGAGGCAGCAAAGUUUUGUGGGUUUCCGGCGAUUUUGUCAUUUUUUUGGUGAUUUCGGCAACCAUUUCUUUCGAGUGAGGUAUUAAACUUCAUCUACUCUUCAUAAUCUUCAAGUUGGUAUGCUUGGUUUGUGCUUUUGUAUUCGUUUUAGAGUUGGGUGUUUAGAACCCUAGAAACCCAGUUUUCCUUGAUCAAUUUGGAUGGUUUCCGGUUAGAAUUUUUCGUUGGCCUAAUUGUGAAUAAUGUUUCCCUUGUUGAGCUCUAGUUACCACAUAAAUAUGAACCUUUCUGGUUAAAGUUGAAAAUUUGGGUUUUCAAACCCUUUAUCAUGGCUACCAUUGUGUGUGGCGGUGCGUGGGACCGUCCACGAGUAUUGUCUAAGUACCAAAUACCAUCUAGUGACCCUAUGAACCUAUGUCUAGCUCGAUUUCCUGAAAUUCAAUUGUUUGGUGUGGUGAUCAAAUUGGACCACCACUUGUUUGUGUGAUUGAUGACAAUCUGAUCGUUGGAUCGUCGUACAAUUUUGUGAGCUCCAUAGUUAUCAGUUGUUGGACCUUUGAGAACUUACGGAUUGGAAAUCCGAUGUGCAGAUCUUCCGGAUUGAAUAACCUUAGAUUGUUGACCUUAAUGGACAUACCUUAUUGAUGGUUGACGUUCUAAUCAAUGUGCUCUACUCUAGAGUGUUGUUUAUCUCUAAUUUGUUGUUGAGGCUUGAUGAGGCUUGAUGAAGCUUAGUUGGCUCAUCACGAUGAUGUGUCGUUCCCAGUUGACGUGUGUCUCAAUAUAUGUAUUAGUGGCACCAUAUUGAGUUAUACUUGUUUAUUAAAUGUGCUUUCUAUUGAAUUGUUAUUUUUAUUUUUAGCAUCAAUCUAUGUUUAUUAAUUAUGAAUCGACUGUAACUUGGGAAACGUUUAUGAAAUGUGGUUAGAUAUGUAUGAUGUGUAUGAUUGUAAUUAUGACAAUGUGAACCCAGAAUCUUAUGAGAAAUAUUAUGUAGAACUUUUAUGCUUGUAUGAUAAGAUAACGAUAAUGAGAAGUUGAUAGUGAAAGUGAUUAUGCUGUAAAUCAUAGCAGAUGAGAUAAGGGUAAUUGGUUUAUGUGUUGAUCUAACUGCACCAUGUAGCAGUGGUACAUGGAUGGUCCUGCUUGGUUAGUCUGCAUUGGGAGACCAUACUAUUUAUGGAUUGCACUUGGUUAAUCCGCGUUGGGCGAUCCUUAUGGCCAUUUAUACUUAUGGGUGAUCAUGCUUAGUUAAUCUGCAUUGGGCGAUCCUUAUGACCAUUUAUACUUAGGGGUGAUCAUGCUUAGUUAAUCUCGUUGGGGGUCACUACCUACUUGAUUAUCUUGACCCUGCUUGGUUAAUCCGCAUUGGGGGGGGGUCAUUAGUGGUCCUGCUUGGUUAAUCCGCGUUGGGGGACCAUACUAUUUAUGGAUUGCACUUGGUUAAUUCGCGUUGGGCGAUCCUUAUGGCCAUGUAUGCUUAGGAGCAAUCAUGCUUGGUUAAUCCGCGUUGGGUGAUCACUUCCUAACAGUUGUAGGAGUAACUCUGCUUGGUUAAUCCGCAUUAGGGGGUCACUACCUACUUGGUUACUUUAUCAGGGGUGGCUUUGCCUGGUUAAUCCGCUUUGGGAGACCACUUCCUGUUUGGUUACUUAUGUGGGCUUCGGCCGAACUGUGUCCCUCUAGCCCUAGUUUUUAAUGCACAUAUGAAUGAUGGUUAUGAGAAUCUUGUGGUUUGAAUUAGAAAAGUCGUUGGAUGUUUGGGUUACUCCUUCGGAGUUUGCAGCAACUUGAUUUUGAUUUCAUAAAGCAUGAUUCUAUACUCGAUGUUUAUAGAUUGUGAUCGAUAGUCUGUUUUUACUAAAUAUCACAUACUUGUAUUAUUGUCACUCACCCGAGUCUCGCAGUUUAUCUAAGUGUCUGAUUAGCCUGAUGUACCAUUUCCAUGAUGUAGGCAUUGAUUACAUGUGACAGAUUUGGGUAGAUUACGAGAAAUCGUUUGAUAUUUUGGAUUCCGUUGAGUGGUCCGGAAUCCUUGCUCACUUCCAUAAGGUUAGUCUAGAACCCUGGAUUCGAGUGAAUGAGAAUUACCCACAACAGACCUUGUGAAUAUAAAUUAGAAUUACUUGUUUAUUACUCAUAAUCCAAGUAAGGAAUUAUGUAGAGUUCCUUAGUUAAAUUUGUGAAAUGAUAAGUUAUCGUAUUGACUGAUUAAUGUAAUUAAAUGUUAAUAUCGUGUCUCCUUGAUUCAUGGAAUGAGUUACUUGAGGUGAUUAUGGAAUGAUGUUAAAUAUGAUUGUUAUUAAUACGAUUAGAUCAGUGAUCAAUGCGACUAGAGGAAACUAUUGUGCUUUGUUGAUAUGAAUUGCGACUUUAUGUUGAAACAUAAUUAAUGGUUUAUAUGAUGGGUGAAAUAGAAACCUUGAUUGUCAUGUGGAUUUGUUAUGUAGCUUGAAUCGAAUAAUUCAAGUCCAUAUGUUUGAUGGAUGAAUGUUAUGCCUUUCGGCUUGAAUGGGCUGUGAUAUAUAUCGAGUUGUAGCGAAGGACGAACUACGAAUGACUUGAUCCUUGUUGAGGGUACGUAGGUAGUCUAACGAGGAGGUUAGAUACAGCCAUAAAAUUUACGAAAAUUACUAUGCAAUUUGGACCUUGAGUGGUGUCCCGGAGGCAAUGUAUGUUAGAUAUACAAGUAUUUGGUGACGUCGCGUGUUGAUCCUAGACGUAUGUUGGGAUCGGGGCGUGACAAACCAACCUUGUUAAGUGCACCCAUAAUCCAUUUAUCUUCUUGAAGGGAUUUAACCACUUUAUUAAGUGCAUCCACAAGUUCGAAUUUUAUAACUGCAAUAUAGACACUUGACAAGUGAAUACUCUGAUUUCACAUAAACAAUACGCAUUAAAAUAAACAAAUCAUAAACCCUAGAAUUGAAAAUCCUAAUUAUAUUUACAAGCACAACAAUCACAAGUCACAAAUUAAAUUAUAGAAAAAGAAGCAUAAGAGAAGAUAAGCAUUGAUCGGGUACCUGACCUCUGUAAGUGGAAUGGGAAAGAACUAAUUCGCAGGCGUAGACUUGCUACCAGUAUGUUGUGCGUUAAAUUCCCAAAAAAAAAGUUGAAUUGUUGCUGAAGUUUCACCCCACCCAAGACACUUUGUACGCCAAGUUUCAAGACAAUUAUAUGAUUUUAUAUUUAAAUAUUUUAUUAAAUUCAAACUCUAAAAAUAUAUUUAUAUAUAUAUUAUAUAUACACACACAUAUUUAAAAAGAAAUUUUUUGGGCCCGCCCCCCACCCAAAACGCUGCAUGGCAAAUUCCAAAAAAAUAUUUAUAAUUUCAUAUUUAGAUAUUUAACUCAAACUGCAAAAUUAAAUAUAUAAAUAUAUAUAGAAAAUUAUGAUUGGCACUCUAAAAUUCUCAUUCUACAUUCCAAACUUUCUAUAUUUGGAAAGAAAAAUACACUUGUGAAGAGUGUAGGAUGAGAUUUUAAUCACCUUUUGAAGUCUUAUAUAUUACUCUCCACCUAGGCUUGAUCACUUAAAGGUGUUUGGUUGUGCAUGUUAUCCUUGCAUGAAACCUUAUAGAACCAAUAAGCUUGAACCUAAGACCAUUCAGUGUAUUUUCUUAGGAUAUGCUGCUCAAUACAAGAGGUAUAUUUGUUAUGCAGUUAAAAAGAACAAAUUAAUUGUCUCUAGGCAUGUUUUAUUUAAUGAGACACAUUUUCCUACUACACAUAAGCUGAGUGUUAAUAUGACUAGUUCAUCUGUGUCUUGUACUUCUACAACCUUUGUUGUUCAUCCUAAUACUUUUCGAAAAACUCUGAUCAUCCCUAUUUCUUUACCAUAUGUGUUUGUACCACCAUCAAAUGCUCUUAGACAAUCUGUCACUUAGUCCACUCCUCUCAACAAUGGUGAUCUUGUCUCCACUACCUCUACCUCAACUUCAAGCUCAAAAUCAAUGUCCCACAGUCAGGGACGGAGCUAGAAUUUUCUUCUAGUUAGGGCAACUUGAAAAACACUAAGAAGACCUAUUAUAGUAUGGUUUAUAACCAAAUGAUAAUGGGGAUGAUUUCAAAUGACGAUGUUCACAAUUGCAAUGUUACAAAAAUAUCAAUAGUAGUGAAAAGUGACAAAUUGAUGAGAAAAAUAUUAACACAUGAGAGGCGGAGGAAGGGUUUUUCAGUUUGAAUGACAGAGCAAGACCAUUUUGAAUUACUUGAGUGGGGGCAUCUGCCCUUAGUGGGCCUUCAUUGGCUCCGUCCAUGCCCAUAGUGUCUCAGAGUUUCAUCCAAAUACUAAAUUAUCAUGCUCCAGAAUUACAUAUUGUGCCCAUUUCUUCUCAAAAUUGUCAUCCUAGGCAGACAAGGUCAAAGUCUGGUAUUUUUAAGAAGAAAAAGGCUUUUAGUGUUGCAGUUUAGUCAAAUUCAAGUAAAGAACCAUAGUCAUUUAGUGCAGCUUCCAAGUCCAUACAGUGACCAAAGGCAAUGAAAGAGGAGAUAGAUGCGCUUAUUCAGCAACAUACAUGGUCUCUUGUUCCUCUACCUCCCAAUAAGAAUUUAGUAGGCUGCAAAUGGAUAUACAAGAUUAAGAUUCUUAUAAUUCAUACAGGACAUUGAGGAGAUGUCAACGGAACUCCGUUUUGAUCCGCCAACAUUUUUUUAGGGAUGUGAUAUCCACACACCCUUUUUUACUUCUCUCACAUCCUUUUAAUUUUUGGCCGUUGAAUCGGAUGAAUUGAAAAAGAUCAAAGGAUAGAAAUUAAUAAGGGGUGUGGAAGAAGUAAAAAGGGAUGUGUUAUUGAUUCUAUGUUUUCCAGCUUAAAGUUUAGUAAGAAACACUUGACUUUAAUUAAUGGUAAUUCCACUUGUGAAUGGCUUAUAAGUUUACCUUAAUUCCCAGGCAAAAAUACUCUCUCAUUUUUGACAAAAAAUGAGAACAAUAAAUCACGACUUUUAAUUGGGUUUACGAAAUUAAACUCAUACAUCUAUAACAGUUACUACACGUGGAAACUUCAUGGUUCAAAAGAAAAUAAAAGGACUUGACUGUAUUCAUACCACAUACAGUCUAUAUAAAAGCAAUUAGGAGCCAGGAUUGCAAAAUGCAAGUACACUGCUAGCUAGACAUAUUUCACGCAUUAACAGCCCUGCAGUUCUUUCUGAUCUCUCCAGCAGACCCAGUAAGAGGACUAAUAUUCCCCAUCUUGAUCAUAGAAUUAGCAAAAUCAGCAAAGAAACGAUUAAUAUUUGAGUUCUAGUUUUGGACAAAACUCUUGGUCCCUGUUGUCACAGCUGCAUCACUUGAAAAUUGAAUUUGAUCUGAACUAAUGAGGCCCUUCCCUUUAAUCGAGUUCUGAAAAUAAUGGUUGUCAAAUAGAUGAGCUGACUUCCGAUCAAAAGGCGCGGUAAUGCUUCCAUCAGGUGCUGUAGAUCAGUUAACAUGCUUUGUUCCAACGUAAUGUCAGGAGCACCUGUUCCUGAGAAGUUGAAGAGUCGAUCUCUGAAAGUGCCACACCUUGCCAACCCAAUUGUAUGGGCGCCUACACAUAAUUAAACCCCUUUAACACUUUAAUCAACUGGUAGAUUAUAUCAACUAAUGAUAUAUUCGCUCUUAAUUAAACAGAGAUGAAGAACAUGACAAAAUCUGAAGAACCAUCAACUUAAUUUCCCAUUAAAGUGGACUAAGUGUCUCAGAUACUUGCCGACAUAUUAAAGGGAGAAUUUUUUUUAUCUUCCCAAUGUUUUAUUGGAUGUGUGUCCGACUCAGUCCGAUCUUGUCUAGUUCCAGCCACAAAACGAGAUUAAAGACUAACACUGCUAAGGAUAUUACUCUCUAGAUAAAUUUAACGCGUUCUCUGAAUCGCAUGCGCUUAGAACUGAACAUUUUAUAUUCUUCUCUCUGCAUGCACAAGAGAAUUGCACAUGAGACUAAAAUAGAGUGUUGAAAUCACUAUAGGAAGUAUAUGUACCUGAUAAGGACACAAUGUUAUUGACAUUUAGGCCGACAGCGGCAAACUUCGAAAUGAUGCUGUCUAGGGCUUCAAAUGGUGCAGGAAGUGCCCUAUUUGCUCCUGUCUGAUUUGCCACUAGACCAUCUCUUCUUCCAAGUAGAACUUUCCAUGAAGUUCCUCCACUCUGCAAAAUGUGCAAUAUUAUGGUAGAACAUUACAUAACAUGUUUAAUUAUGAAAUAAUUAUCUAAUUAAUAAUGGCAUGCAUGAUAUUAUCCUUCGACUACUACUACAAAAAUCUCCAAAACAACCGCGGGCCCCUCCAAACCGAUCAGGAGUUGUUCUCAACAAGUAGCAUAGACACUGUUUCCAUUGUGAACCACUUUGCUAAUAACCAAAGCGAUUUCUUUGAUACUUUUGCACAGUCCAUGAUCAAAUUGGGGAAUAUAAGACCUUUGACAGGAAUCACUGGAGAGAUUAGGGCUGAUUGCAAAAGAGUCAACUAACCAAUCAGUCUACUAAUAGGUUACCAAUUGCCCUAAAUAAGGGUACUGUGUUAGCAUGAGGUUUAGGUACCUUGUCAUUUUGGUCUAUUUUUCUUUCCUUACUAAUUAUAUAUAGCUCACUAAGUAUUUUUUCAUACUGUAGUCAUUUAGUCCAUGUGGGGAGGGUUUCCAAGUAUAUCCAACGUUAAUGGUUGAGCUGCUGCGACUUAUUUAAAUAGGUCGUGCUUGUGUCAUGCUAGAUCAGCCUGACCUUUGACAACUCUAACUUAAAUGUGCUGAAUUACCUUGUUGGAAAAGUUAGCAAAUUAAGAAUUUGGUUUGUCAGUUAUUCAGUGAGUAAGGCCCAAGUGGUAGACGAAUCGAUUUCAAACCAUUUCUGAACAAUUUCACGUAUUAUACACUCAACUGGGGGCAUGUAGAAUUAUUGAAGCUAACCCUAAGAUCAAUAAAUGCAAAAAGGAAAACAAAGAAAAAAGCUACGAUCGAAGUAAUCUUCAUCUAAUCAAAAUUUUGUCUUAGACUUUUAUGUUUUGGACUAAACUUUAGAGUAGUAUUUAUAGACUUGUAAUAUAUUUGAACAGGGUUUCCGAGUAUAUCCAACAUUGAUGGUCGAACCAUGUUGUGACUUAUUUAAAUAGGAUGUGCUCGUGUUGUGUUAGGCUAACCUGCCUUUGAUAACUCUAACUUAAAGGCUUAAAAUUUGUGCUUACCUUGUUGGGAAAGUUAACAAAUUAAGAAUUUGGGGGCAGGUAGAAUUGUAAAAGCCAACCCUAAGAUCAGCCGCUACAAAAGGAAAAAGACAGAAAAAUGCUAUAAUCGAAGUGAUCUUCAUCUGAUCAAAUUUUUAUCUCAGACUUAUAUGUUUAUGACUGAACUUCAGAGUCUAUUUAUAGACUCCUAAUAUUAUUUAGGGUUAUCUCAAUUUUCUGAGCUAGCUGUCUUUGGGUGAAGAAUGAUGAGGUAUGAGUGUGACUAACCCUAAAUGAAAAUUAGGACAUUAAAUGGUGAUAUAUCUCUUAACUUUGACAUUACUUUCUUCUCAAACGUUGCAAGGGUGCGCGGAGUAGGUUUAUUAAUCAUGCAAAAUAGGUUAUGUUCACGUUGAAUCAUGCACAAUAGUUGUUGUGAAUGACUUAUACACUUGAAAAAUGGUUGAAAGCCAGCUAAUAAAUAGCAACCAACAGAUCUUGUAAAUCAACCUUCAAAAUACUAAUGUAAUUUUCAUUUAAUACCCCCCCCCCCCUGAAAUCAGUCCUAAUAUUUUUAACGCAUCUUCAAUGCAUAUGAAACUUAAAUGAAAUCACUUGGAAAAAAAUAAAGCUAAUUAUCAUUUGUUUGAUAUUUUUAUUUAAUUGGAUAUUUAAUCAAAGGUUUCUAUAUUUUAGUAUCAACAUGUCAUUAUGUUUUCUUUCUUAACAUGCUUCUUUUUUAUUGAUGACAUAUAAUUUAGUUUGUAAAUUUGGUUUAAAAAUUUGGUCUCCCUAACAUUACUUAUUAGAUAACGUAUUGCUACUGUAAUUUAGUAUUAUUGAUUGUAACCACAUUUGAAAACUAAGCCAAAAUAACACACACGAUUUCUGUAAUAGAACAAAAUAAACACUAUUUUUGGAAUUAUGGUAAAAUAACCACAUUAUUUCUGAAACUGAACCAAUAUAACACACACUAUUUCUGAAACUAUAGCCAAACAACCCACUAUUUAUGAAACUAAAUCAAAAUAACAAUACUAUUUCUGAAACUGAUCCACAAUAACUACACUAUUUUUGGAAUUACUGCAAAAUAACUCACACUAUUUCUGAAACUGAAUCAAAAUAAUCCACACUAUUUAUGAAACUACAAAAAAAAUUACUCACACUAUUUUUCAAAAUCAAAAUAACCCACACUAUUUCUAAAACUAUAGCAAAAUAACCACACUAUUUCUGAAACUGAACCAAAAUAACCCACACUAUUUCUGAAACUAUAACAAAAUAACCACACUAUUUUUGGAACUACAACAAAAUAACCUACAUUAUUUCUAGAACUACAACAAAAUAGCCCACACUAUUUUUGAAAAUUAAACCAAAAUAAUCUACACUAUUUCUGAAAGGAAACAAAAUAAACAUUAGUUUUGGAAUUAUAGCAAAAUAACAUACAUUAUUUUGAAACUAAGCCAAAAUAACCAACACUAUUUCUGAAACUGAACAAAAUAACACAAACUAUUUUGGGGCUGCAACAAAAUUAUACCUAUUUUGAAACUGAACCAAAAUAAUGAGUUUUAAAACUAGGAGAUUUUCAAUCUUAUGAGCCAAGAUUUUCACUAUGUUGUGUUUAGAUAAGGAUUUUGAAGAGCACUAACGAGUUUUAAAUUAUUUCUUUACUCUUCACAACUACUUAACUUUUUUCCCUGAUAAUAUCAUCUUGUUGGCAAAUAAUUGGCAUUCUUGUGAUAGGUUGAGCAUGCCUUGAUUUCACAAGUCAAGUCAUGCAUCUCAUUGACAUGUCUCUUUUGAAUAAUAUAUUCUGGGGUUUAUGAAUUAAUCUCAAUAUUGUUCCCUAUAUAUAUAUAUAUAUAUUGGUCAGGAAUAACAAUUGCAUUGAUAAGGGAAAUACAAAUGGAGAUAAAAGGGUGAGUGUGGAUGCAAAUUUCUUCCUCCUCGAUCUUGGACGAUUUUGCACCUACAAAACAAUUAACACCUUAGGUUAAGGCCAAGAGCCUCACGCGCCCACGAUGAAUGGGGGGGGGGGGCUUUGGCCGAAGAACCUCCGAUGCCAAAGUUAGAAUUUAGAGAGAAAGAGUGUUUAGAGAAUUUUGGGAUUUUUGCCAAAGUGUUGGAAUUGAUUUUUUGGUGAGAAUAGGUGCCUAUUUAUAGAGUUAGGAGGUGGCUAGGGUUUUUAGGUUUAAUUUAGGUUUAAUUAAAAAGGGAAAAUGGUGGAAAAGGUAGAGAAUAUGAUAGGCUCUUUUUGGAUGGGAAUGGCCGGCCCUUGGUGUGAUUUUGGGGUGAUUUGGUGAUGUAAUUAGCCUUUAAUAUAUUGAUUAUAUUAAUUGGUUGAGGAUGUUAUGGAAUGUUUGAAAUAAAUGGCUAAUUGAAUAAGGAAAAAAUGAGGUAAAAACAUAUAUGAAAUAGGUUUUGAAUUGUUACCCAUUUUGGGUACUUCUGACUUGGUUGAUGGAUGAUUCUCCACUGCUCGCGUGUAGGAGACCCGGUAUGCCUCGAGGGUAUUUUUGUCCUUUUUGUCCAAAAAACCCACGUGUCGCCUUGUGAAUAUUUUUGGCUCCACAAAUGCCCCCACACCUGUUGGGCUGCUCGCAAAAAAGGGCGGCAGGUGUAGAGAUUUUCUUGCUUUAGGAAACUUAGGACUGCUUCCUAUUUUGAUGUAGAUUCUCUCUUUAAUAGGAAAUUAGAUCCUUCUAGGAAAGGGAAAUAAAUUUCUCUCAAAGCCUAUUUAAGUCCACCUUAAGUGGGUUAUUAAAUCAACUUUGGAGAGCGAUUUAUUCUACCCUACAAGAGAGAGAUAGCUUAGAGGAUAUUUGUUCCCCCUCCUCUAGCAAUCUUAUACAUCUUGCCCGUGCAAAGGACCGUCUUUCGUUGAUUUCUUCGUCUUCUUCGUGCCGCACCAAUGUAAGAAAAAUUUAAUUUUUCUUGCCUUAUUCUUGGAUAGUGCUAUUGCGUGGUAGCCGUCGGGGUGGUGCGGCACGUCGGCUGGCAGGGGCCAGAAGCUGGCUUGGCAUGAGCUGAGGAGAUGUCGUGGCAGGGACCACUACUUGGGCAGCUUGGCUUGGCUUGAGCCAAGGGCAGCUUGUGCAGCUGGGGUCGAGGAUUGUGGCGCUAGGGCACAGUGUUAGGCGAGCCGCAUGGCUCAUGUCCUUUGGGGUCUUGGACCUGACUCGGGCCAGGCUGGCGAUUGAGAGAAAUAAGGAGAUUGCGGGUCUCAUGGGCUGCUGGAAUGUUGGGCAUGCAGGCCUUCUGCCUGCUGGAAUGCUGGGUUGAGCUCCCCUGCUGAGUACCAUGAAUGUCGUUGGCUGCUUAGUCUUCUUUGCUGAAAGAAAGGUGGGCUGCUCCAGAAAGAUGAGGUAAAGAGGAUCAAGGCGGAUGCAUUGGCUCGUCUGAUCGCUGUCGUGGAGCUUACUAUGAAUGAAGAUGGAAAGAAGAGAUCUUCCCCGCCUGCUCAUGAGAUGCCUAGUUAAGAAAAAACUGAAGACUUCUUCUGCUGCUCAUGAGGGUCCGCUUGCUACCGAGAGGUAUGUGAUUGACAUGACUUUUUCUAAUGGGAAGAAAAAUAAGGCUGCUAGAUCUGAGCAUGUGGCGUCUUCCAUGUUGAGAAUGGCUAGUACAAUUGUGGAUAAGAUUGCUCAGCGUAAAGGUUUUAUCAUGCCCCCAGUGCCGAAGUCUGUACCAGGAUGUUCUUUGGGAGCCAAGUCCGGUUCACCUUUGUAGAGACUUGCUAUUAUGAAGAGUGGUAAGGUGGACUCUGCUGCUAAAGUGGCGCCAAAGCCUGCUCCCUUUGCUGCUGAGAUUGAUUCGCCUCAGAUUCAAGAUCUUAAGCUUGCAAUUUCUGAGCUUCGUUUCGCUGCUUAUGCUAAGAAGGGAGUGGAUGAGCUGCAGCGCGUCUGUGUUAGUCUGCUUAAGAAGAAUGAACAGCUGAAGGGUGAGAAUGAUGGGCUUGAGGUUUUAAGACAUUCUCUAUUUCUCCGAAAGACUUGCUUGCUUUUACUUUUAAGGCUUCCAUUGGUGAAGUAGUUGGAGAAGUUAGUGCCCAGACUGGGGCAGCCGGGGGUGAAGCGCCGGAUGAUGCCGUUGCUAAGAGUGUUACGGCUGUUGAAGGUGUGGCGACCGAGUAGUCGUGGGAUGUCCAAGCUGCUGUAGUGUAGUAUUUUAGGUAGCCUUUAGGAUUUUCUUUGUUUUUCCUUAUAGCUCUUGUUUUGCUUGAACUCCUUCGGCCUUUGCUAGUUGUUUAUAAACAUGUUUUCCUUCGUUUUUCUUCAUCUUCACUUCUUUUGUUCAUGCCCUAACCUUUAGACUUGAUAGACCAGUGGCAGGCAUGCUACUUUUUUAUAAGCAGACAAGCUCGCGUAGCCUAUGCAGCUGUAGGUGUUGGUGUAGAACUUUGCAAAGUUGUUAGCCAUAGGGUUGGCAGCCGGAUGCCUUACUUACAGAAGAAGACAAGUCCGCGUAACCACUAGGCUGUUAACCUUGACUUUCUUCAAUUCCGUAGGUUGCGUAGCAAGUAUCACAACACUUUAGGACUUGGUGUAGGUUGUUCCGCGCUUGGCAGAGGUGAAGCUUAUCGACUACGUAGCAUGUCGGCAGUGGAUAAAACUUCGUAUAUGCGCGCUAGCUUGUUUAACCUUUCACAAGAAUGUGCGGUUGUAUAAGUCUAGCGUGGCUUUACUGCUCGAAGGGCAAGUCGUAGGCAGUCUUCCGGAAUCCGUAGGCUACCUUAGUGCACUCGGUAGCAGCUUUAGGAUUCCAGGGCAGCCGUCCAUCGGAUGUACUGCGUAAUCCGUCUCUAGGGCCCGGUUCUCCAUGGAUUAGGCCAAGAGACCCAAAAUCCUUCAGUUAGCUAAGCCUUGAAAAAGACCAUUGCGGCUACUUCUAGGAAUCCUGGCGCAAGCCAUCAUGCAUCUAGUUAUACUAGGGCAGCCAGGCUCAUCCACGUCUGGAUAUUCAGAGUGUAAAGUUUAUCUUCCCGUCUUGGAGAGCUGACCCAUAUGGGUGUCGGGGAAUUGGUUUACCCUCUCGCACUGGAGAGAAAUUAGUUUACCCUCUCGCACUAGAGAGCAUGGUUGGUCCCUCGGGGGGCGCAAUUCCUGCGAUGGGUCCCUAAGAAGGGCACAGUCUUCUUUUGAAGUGCUGGAGUGAUCACUUGUUGUAAGCAUGCAGCCGAGCCAAGUUGUGAUUACUUCUGAAUUCCUCAUUGAAAAACGAGUGAAACGAACGAGAACUUAGUUGUAAGGUAGGAACUGCAUAACAACUGGAUAGUCCUUGACUUGUGAGGUGGUGCCCGUCGAGCUUCUUAAGUCUUCGGGCUUUGAUGUAGUCAGAGGUCACACAUGGUACUUCUUCAGAUUGUAGGCGCUCUACUACUUUUCGAUCUUUUUAUCGUUUCAUGGUAGCGGGGGUAUAAUUACUCUUGCCGCCUAUUCUGCUGAGCUUGUACAGACCUUCCUAGAUGAGAUCCAUCUUUUUGGAUGUUUCGGCUUGCCUAUUGCCUUAAGGAUAUCUCGGCAUGGACAUAUGCUGCUUGAUGCCAUAUUUUUGGAAGAACUUCGCCAAAUCUUUGCCCACGAAUUACAGGCCGUUGUUGGUGACGAUGGAUUAAGGGAUGCCAAAUCGGUACAUGAUGUUCCUCCAUAUGAAGGGCUAUAUGUCCGUCUGAAUCGUGGUCGUCAUGGGCUCUGCUUCCACCUAUUUGGUGAAGUAAUCGGUUGCCACGAACCACGGCUGUUCGCGAGCCUUUGUAGUUGGAUGCGCCGUUGACAUGCGAAUGCCAGAAAUCUCCAUUGAGGGAAUAUGUGUGGCUAAAGUGUGAUCGACUGCCUUCGGGGCAUCGUUGGGCCGAGUUGUUACGUUCGUCAGAAAACUUUGCAUCUGCCAAGGUCUACGCCUUUAUCGUUGCCGGUUUGGAUUCGGCGGAAUAGUGCGUCAUGAUGAUAACUGCAGGUAACUGUAGAAUACAGGUAGUCGGGCCCCCAGCUCUUCUCGCAUGAUGGUAGAGCUUAUUGCUACUUUAGAUACCGUCAAACAUGCGAAUAAGUCCUCCGCUGCUUCUAGGGAGGUGAUGUCGGGUACUUUUUCAAGUACUUGAAUGUGCAUUGGCGAGCCUCAUCCCAAAGUGCAUGCUUCUCUGCUAAAGCGAAAGAGUCUGCCAGAGUUAGAUCUUCUUUCAUGAUCAAUUUUUCGAAUAGCGGGUGGUCUGCUGGAAGUCCUUUUUGGAAGGCUGCUUUAGCUAUCGAGUCGUUGCAUCCGACUAUUUUUGCCUUCUCUACUUUGAACCUCCUCACAUAGUCGCGAAGCGACUCCUUUGGGUUCUUCUUGACGUCGAACAAAUGGUCAAACUUCUUUUUGAUCGAGCGAUAGGAUGAAUAUUCUUUGGUGAAAACCAAAGAAAGUUCAUAGAAAUUCCGGAUGGAUUGUGGCGGCAGGGUGUAGAACCAAUCUUGCGCCUCGCCUUGUAGAGUGGUGGCGAAUAUCUUGCACAUGAGAUCAUCGUUGUUUCGAUAAAGGAUCAUUGCACUUUGGUAACGUUUUAAGUGUCUCUCCGGGUCUUCAUCCCCUUUGAAAGAUGUGAAAUGUGGCAUGCUGAACUUGAGCUGGAUUGAGUGACUGCUUCUCUCCGUCCGUCGUGCUGCCUACUCUGAUGUGAGGUGGAUGACGCUCCUUGUGGGCUUAGCUGCGAAUAGACACUUUGCCCGGAAGGUUGUUCAUGUUGACUAUCGGAGUAUAACCCCAACCGUGCAUGUAUGCUCCUCCGUGGGCCUAGUCGAGAGUGCAUGCUUAUUCGCACUCUAAGACGGGAAUGUACACUGCCCAAACGUUCGGCUCGUGGCUGCUUACCGGGACGCUGCUGGAAAUGUCCGUCUGCCCUUGUCCUACUUCGGGAUACCUCGUCCGGGGCACGUUGGAUCCCAAUGUGUUGCAAAAGUUGAUUCACCAAGGUUGUCUGUUGUGCAAGGGCGCUCGUCAACUCUAUGACUUGUCGAGACAAGUGUUGUUCGCCAUUUGGAUUGGAAGAGCUUGGAAGGAAUGCGCCUCCUUGGGCAGUGAAAGGGUGGUAGACUUCGGGCGCGAGAUUUGAGUUGGGAAAUGUCAAACCCGCGAAAAAAUGUGGUGAGAAUGCCCCCGGUUCGAAGGUAGGUCGUUGAGAUAGUCUUGGGCCGACUUGGGCUGCUUGGAAAGCCACUGGAGCAGGAUAGGCAGUGAGAGUGGGCUGUUCGUCAGGAGCAGGCUGGGUCAUGAAAGCAGGCUGUUUGGCAGGAGCAGGCUGGGCCACGGGAAUGGGCUGCUCGACGGAAGCAGGUUGGGUCAUGGGAGUCGGCUGCUUGACGGAAGCAGGCUGGACCACGAGAGUGGGCUGCUCGUCGGGAGCAGGUUGGGUCACGAGAACAGGCUGCUUGGCAGGAGCAGGCUGGGCCACGGGAGUGGGCUGCUUGGCAGGAGCAGGCUGGGCCACCGGAGUGGGCUGCUCAACGAAAGCAGGCUGGGCCACGGGAGUGGGCUGCUUGGCAGGAGCAGGCUGGGCCACCGGAGUGGGCUGCUCGACGAAAGCAGGCUGGGCCACGGGAGUGGGCUGCUCGACGAAAGCAGGCUGGGCCACGGGAGUGGGCUGCUCGUCGGGAGCAGGCUGGGUCACAAGAGCAGGUUGCUCGGUAGGAGCAGGUUGGGCCGUGAGAGUGGGUUGCUUGACGGGAGCAGGCUGGAUCAUGGAAGCAGGCUGCUCAAUGCGCGGUGCAUGUGAAUGCGAGGCUUGGGCUUGGGUCCACGUAAACUUGGAUGGCACGGCUUGGAUCGUGGUCUUGGUACCGUGAGCCUUGGAUGGCACGGCUCGGGCCGUGGUGAAGGCUCCAUGGACCUCGCCACGAGUGGCUACCGAAGUAGCCACCGCGGUGGUUCCCAUGGUGGCCGUGAUGAAGGCACCGUGGACUUCGCCGUGAGUGGCUACCGGUAGCCACCGCGGUGGUUCCCAUGGUGGAAACUCGUGGUGGUGAUGCCGCUCCCCUUAUUGUCGCAUUUUGCCUCAAGGAUCUCCGGGCCGUGGUGAAGGCUCCAUGGACCUCGCCACGAGUGGCUACCGAAGUAGCCACCGCGGUGGUUCCCAUGGUGGCCGUGGUGAAGGCACCAUGGACCUCGCCGCGAGUGGCUACCGAGGUAGCCACCACGGUGGUUCCCAUGGUGGAAGCUCGUGAUGAUGAUGCCGCUCCUCUUAUUGUCACAUUUAGCCUCACGGAUCUCCGCAAUCCCAUUUCUUGAACAUUAGAAUUUUCACUUGUGGAAUUUUCUAAAUUUCUAGCCAUUAUAUUUUGCUUAUACGUUUUAUCAAAGAACCUUUGCAAGUAAAAAAUUCUAAUAAUAAGAACGUAUGAAAAAUAUUCAAAUGGACUAGAAAAUAAAGAAAAAAACCUUUUUGUGCGAGAGUCUUCUACGAGUAUGGAUUUCAACUCUCAAUGAAAGCACCAAUUUGUGGAUGCAAAUUUCUUCCUCCUCGAUCUUGGACGAUUUUGCACCUACAAAACAAUUAACACCUUAGGUUAAGGCCAAGAGCCUCACGCGCCCACGAUGAAUGGGGGGGCUUUGGCCGAAGAACCUCCGAUGCCAAAGUUAGAAUUUAGAGAGAAAGAGUGUUUAGAGAAUUUUGGGAUUUUUGCCAAAGUGUUGGAAUUGAUUUUUUUGUGAGAAUAGGUGCCUAUUUAUAGAGUUAGGAGGUGGCUAGGGUUUUUAGGUUUAAUUUAGGUUUAAUUAAAAAAGGGUAAAUGGUGGAAAAGGUAGAGAAUAUGAUAGGCUCUUUUUGGAUGGGAAUGGCCGGCCCUUGGUGUGAUUUUGGGGUGAUUUGGUGAUGUAAUUAGCCUUUAAUAUAUUGAUUAUAUUAAUUGGUUGAGGAUGUUAUGGAAUGUUUGAAAUAAAUGGCUAAUUAAAUAAGGAAAAAAUGAGGUAAAAACAUAUAUGAAAUAGGUUUUGAAUUGUUACCCAUUUUGGGUACUUCUGACUUGGUUGAUGGAUGAUUCUCCACUGCUCGCGUGUAGGAAACCCGGUAUGCCUCGAGGGUAUUUUUGUCCUUUUUGUCCAAAAAACCCACGUGUCGCCUUGUGAAUAUUUUUGGCUCCACAGUGAGGGCAUAGACGCCCAAACCCAGAUAAAAGAUAAAAAAAAAAGUUAUUUGACGCAAAAAAAAAAAAAAAAGAGGUAAUUUGACCUACAUAAAAAAGAAAACAAAUGUGAUAGACAUAUACAUGGACACAACCAAACAAAUAUUUAAUGGGAGUGUGGUCUCGACAAACUUCAUGCAGUUCAAAGCCUAAUGAAAAAAUUCAACUUUUUGAUGGAAUGAGACUUCUGUCAAGGAAAUUGGUUGGAAAAAAGAAAAAUUAGUGUUGCACAGGCUUCUUUAUUAUUGAUGAGGCUUCAACUUUUAUCCAUAUUAUAUUGUAUUUUGCCUUUUUUAUUAAAUUUCAAGUUCUUUAUAUUAAAUAAAGUUAUAGGGUGAUUUUUCUUAAAAUAAACUUAUCUCAAGACUUUUUUCUCCCCUUUUAAUAAUGAGAGCGCAUUUCAUUUAACAACCAAAAAGCCCCAUGGAUAGCAAAAAGCAAACAAACAUCAGCCCAAAACCUGAUCUGAAGCCCAAAACGUAGAAGCAAUCCAUAAUACAUCAAACCCUAGCAUCAAACUCUACCCAUAGAGCUGGCACUACCUUUGUUGGUGCAGAAAACGUCACCAUCGUAGAUACAAGCCAAAAUAUAAUGUGUUGAGCAAAAAUUGUACACAAUACGUAAACAAAUAAUUUUCUCGACACAAUUUCACCCUUGUUCAUUUCUUGAAGAGGGUUUUAUUAAUUCGAGUUCGACCCAUUCUAGGCUACGCGCCUAUUAAUUACAACUCUUCCUUUGGGAAAGGAAUACCCUUUGAUUCUAAUAUAAAUAAAUCGUAACUUAGGGAUUUGGAUGUUUAUUUGAUUUUGUGACUGCACCUAGGUAUAGCCCUAGAUUGCCUACGUACCCUCGUUGAGGCGGCUUCAUGCCAUUUGAAAUUUGAUGUGGCUUUGUGCCAUUUGUAAUUUGAACCGGCUUUAUGUCAUUUGAACCGGCUUUGUGCCAUUUGUAUUUUGACAUGGCUUCUUUCCAUUUGAGACUUUUCUUCGGCUUCGUUGCAUGAGCAGCAUACAUUAAUUGGAAAUCUAGGAACUAUGCUUUCCAGACUCUUUUACUCUUCGUAGAAUUUGUAAUUACUUGGUCAAAGCAGCAGAAGUGAAUUUAGUUUAUAUAAACCAGAGAUUCGUCUUGAUUUCAUGGUUGCGUCUGAAAAUUGAUAUCAGACUGCCUACGUAUCCUUAACGGAAUCAAACCAGCGUAGUUCGUAACUUUGUUGAGAUUUGAAUGGGGCUUUGUGCCAUUUGAGUUUUGAUGUGGCUUUGUGCCUUUGAUUUUUUGAUACGGCUUCAUGCCUUGUAGUAUUUGAAACUUUUCUUCGACUUCAUGCCAUUUGUAGUGGCUUUGUGCCAUUGAGAUUUGAUGCGACUUCGUGCCAUUUGAAAUUUGAUAGGGCUUCAGAUGACUUGUGUCCACGGUAUUUGAUGUCAACCACAGUGUCUCCAUGCCUACUUUAUUUCUUUUGCUUCUUGUUGCUGCCUUUUAUUCCUCCACAACAGCAUACAAAGUUCUUGCUUCUAUAUUGUUUAACGAAAAUAUAAAAGCAAGUGACAAAGCACCAUUGCUUUUAUAAAAUGCCUUUUGAGACUUUUGUAGUCAGACUUUCUUUGAGAAGAAGCCACAUGUUGUUAUGUUGGAGAGAUGUGGUAUUUUAAAGAUGUCACGUGAGUGUUUUUCCCAUUUGAUUUGGGAAGUUGUCAGGCAAGCCCUUAUUGCUUCUAUGUGAACUUGAAUUCUUUUAAGUCCAAUAGAACUUUACGUGUGAGAAAAAUAAAGACAUCCAUUUCCCUCCUGUAAUCAGUGGCGAAGCUAGGAACUUUCGAGGGGUGGGGCCGAAUUUAAAAGCGUUAGUAGGUUUUGAAAAAAAAUUAGACAAUAAAAUUCUUUUAGAUAGUAAACAAUAGUAAUGGUGUUCAUAAUUUAUCGAUACAAACAAGUUGUAAUUGUUAUCGGCAAGGUUUUAUGUCAUGAUAUCGCAUAAUACGCUCAUUAUCAAUAAAUGCAAGAUCAUCUUUCAAUAUAAACAGUCAAACUAUCACGCAAUUGUUGUACACCUCUCUCUAUGUAAACACUUCUUUCAAUAAAAACAAAAACAUUUCUCACAUAAUAUGAACACUAAUACCUUUCCCCACAAAACUUUUUGUAUAUAUGAAACAAGUUCUGAAGUCAUUAUUUCUCAAGAAUUAAAAGAAAAUAAGAUAAAAUAAUUUUAAAUACUAGAAAUAAUAACAAGAAAUAAAAAAGAACAAUAACAAACAUCAACCUUUUGUUUUUUUUUUAGUACAUCGAUAUUUUUACAUUAAGGGGAAUGAGAGUUCUGCUAAGCCACACGAUGAACAACCUAAUAGAGGGGGAGUUCGGCUAAGCCACAUGAUGAAUAAUCUAAUUUGGUAUUGAAUUCGUCAUGUACAAGAUUCGAACCUAAAACCUCUCACUUUCAAGUGAAAAUGAAUAUCACCAGACCGUAGUACCGAGUGACAACCUUUUGUUUUUCUUAAGUCUAAAAGUUUAAACAAAUGAGAUAGAGGGAACAUAAUUUUAAUUGUGCACGGGUACUGCGGUUGGAAAAGAAACCACAUCAAUAGAAUUAAAAAGUAAAAAUGAAAAUAAAGGAGCCAAACCGCACCGUUUCAUUAAAGGAAUAUUGAGUUUUAUAACCAAAGCAUAUAAUAAUGUAAACGACGCCGUUGGGUUCUAAACAAAAUAGGAUCAUCGUCUUCCCUUGACAUCAAAACCCAGCAGCGCAGCUCAGCGCAACAGGUUCAAAAAAUCGAUCGGAAUUCUCACUCUCAGUGGCGAUUUUUGACGACGUCGUUUUGAAAAAAAAAUUGAAUGCAGCUCUGCUGCACGCAGAGCAGAUGCAGACAGAGAUAGCACCGGAGGAAAUGAAGAGCAGCAGGAGGGGAGGGACUGGCCAGCGCUCCAGCCUUGUUUUUCCGACGAGGGGAGUGUCGGCCGCCACUCCUCGCCCUCACAUAGCUUCGCCACUGCCUGUAAUAAUUUCUUUUUUUCGUGGGAUUUAUGCAACACAGGCUCUGUUCAAAGCAGCCUCAUGUUUUAUAUUCUUCUUUGAACUUUCAAUCCCAUUUAAGCAUGGGACUUCGAACCAUUUGACCCAAGUCUUCUGACAACGAACUUUGCUUUUCUUCUUUGUUGUUUUUUUUAUGGGACAAUGAUUGUCUGUCCUCUCACUUCCGAUGUCCUUCUUAGUCUUUCUGUUUUGUGUGGUCACGGUUAAGUAACAUUAACAUUUUAUAUUAUUUUGUUAUAAAGAUAAUAAGGCAAAAAUAAAUAGUAAUAUAAAAUGUUGAUGUAACUUAACUGUGACUACACAAACAGGAAAACACGGAAGGGUCCGGAAGUGAAAUGAUAGACAAUCCUUGUCCUUUUUUAUGUGAUUUUAAUGUUUCCAAAGUUCCAACAGGACUUCCAAUUCUAACAAUCUCACUUUUUCUCCACGUGAGCAAGACUCCCACGUAGGAUGCAGAUUUUAUUCACCCCCUUUCCCCUUGCGAUAUGGCUUAAAAAAAAUCCUCUUUUUCCUUGGUUCUAACACACGGUGUUCUUCCACCAGAAGCAAAAGGCAGUUCCGCAAUACUUGAGCUUGCAUUGAUUUCGCAAUCUUUUUGAAAUUCCUUUUGGGUUUAUUAGCGGUUGAAUUCCAAACGAAGAUGGGUAAGAUUGGUGGAGUUCAAACUUUUUUGAAUUGCUCCUACUUAUCCUCCUUUCCUCUUAAAUCCCAGUGGGUUUUUUUUCUUUUCUUUUAUGCAGGUCACGAGAACCUUUGUUUUUCUGCUGCCUUGUUCUUUUGCUUGUGUGCUUCCUUUGUGGAUCGAAAACUCAAAACAAAGAAGGGGAGAAGUAAAGCAGGUUACCCAUUUUCGUUUUCUUUAUAUUCAAACUCUAACUGCAAUGAACUUAUCAAUUCUUUCGUGCAAGCGUCCCGGGCAACGACAUCUCUUCGAUUUGGUUUGUUGCUAUUUCCUUCAGGUAAUGGGCUUGGUUGGGUUGUACAAACCCUUCUUUUUGUAUAAUGGUAGAUGAUAAGCCUUAUUUGAUGUUGGUAGCUUCUGUAGACUAAAUUUAUUUAGUUUUGCCUUUAUCAUCAGUAGCUUUCAGUACCAUUUUGACUUGGUUUCUGACAUGGUUGUUGGAUAAACUCUUUUCCAGUACCGGGUUUUGUUGAAGACAAUUGUUGAUUCAUGGCUCCAAAGGUGAGAAUUGCACUCUGAAAUUUGUAGUAACACACUCGUAGGAUCUGCUGUAUUUUGAAUGGGUUUUGAUGUUUCAGUGUAUAAUUAUCACUCUUUGGCAUUUCUGUUACAUUGAGAAUUAUUUGGCUGGUCUUAACAGUGGGCAUUUGGACACUUUUUUUGUGCUCCCAUCCUUGUGUUGUCUUUGAUACUUGCCAUCUUUUCUUAUUAACACUUGUACAAAGUGAUGCUUUUCCCAAAAUCUUUUGUAAUUUUGAUUUGUCUUCUGGUUCUUUGAAGGUUUUGUAAAUGAGUUUUCCCAAUUAAUUUGGGAAGUUUGACAGCAAGGUCUUCCUUCUCUGUGAGCUUGGGACAGCUUGAACUCUUUUCUUUUGUCUUAUCUUCACGUGGCAGAGAAGCAGGUUUCUUUUAGCUGUCCAUUUAAGGACCUAGGAAAUUUCCUUUCUUUCCUUUUUGUCUUGUUGCAACUAUUCGUUUUAUUUCAAAGCCUUUGGUCAAAAUUUUGACACAAUGUUUGAUAAACAUGAUAGCCACACUCAAGUCCUUCAGAAGACAUCUUCUUCCUUUUCCUUUCUCUGGAGUAAUCUUUGUAAGUCCUUCAGAAGACAUCUUCUUCUUUUUCCUUUCUCUGGAGUAAUCUUUGAAAAAUGAUAGCCACACUUAAGUCCUUCAAACGACAUCUUCUUCCUUUUCCUUUUUCUAGAGUAAUCUUUUGAAGAAUGAUAGCCACACUUAAGUCUUUCAAACGACAUCUUAUUCCUUUUCCUUUUUUUGGAGUAAUCUUUGAAGUCUAGGACAUCAGCAACUAAACACCUUUUUGGAGCAUAUUGCUCUACUUUUGCCAAAAAGCUCCUGCACUGUUGUUGAUUGAAUAACAAAAACAGGUUGUGGUCGAUAUUUGGAGUCGAAACUUUGUUAUUUCUUUAUCAAAUCUAUCGCUUGCCGUGACACCAAUGGUUUCUUCUUUCUUGGUAUGGACGAUGGACACGAAUUUCUUAGACUUGAUUGGAACUUCACGGGGUGGUUUAGGCCACCCCGAAGAAAUUCAUGGGAUUUUGGAGAUUAUUUCUGCUACUGUCAGUGGGGACUCCAGAUCCUCUUCUUCAUUUCUCUUUUAAACGUUGCAAUUUUCUUGUAUAAACUGAAGGUUACAGACUCUAGGUAACUGAUUACGCCCUCUUUUCUUCAUUUUUGUCUGCAACACAACAUCAAACAAGAGAAAUAAAUAAAUUAAUAGAACUUGUUUCAUACCUGGUGAUGAAUGUUCUUCUUUUGGAUCUUGACUCGAAAGCACAAAUGAUUGAACUGCUUGCUCUCUUUUCUGGCAGCACCUUGUUGCUUUUGGUAUUUUCUCUCAAAGUUUCUCUAUUUUUUCUGCAGAGUUUCCCCUCUCCUUUUCUGUUUUCUCCCCUUGUUGCUGCAGCUGAUGCCUAUUUAUAGGCAUUCUAGGAAGGCUCUAGAGUUUUUUAUGUGGGAAGAUGGAGGUCAUGUUUUUCUGCCACUUUCUCUUAACCCCCCUUACUGACUCCACGUUUCUUUUUGUUGCAGAAAAUGGGGAAGCACCUGUUUUGCACGUUUCUUCCCCCUUUUGUAUGAAGAAAUGCAUAUUUUUAUUUAUUUAUUCAUGGAUGUUGAUUUGUAUGUAAAGCCCACCCUCAUUUUUUUUGGGCUGGAUUACAUCUUUUGUUUUUAUCUUGUAGUUUGACCCAAUUUGUAUGGAUUCUAUUUCUUUUAUGUUGUCUAUUUUUGUUGUUCAACAUAAUGAAAAGAGAGCUCAUACGAAAAUGUGACAUUUAUCACGCACAUAUUCAAUUGACCAAGUGAGUAUAAUACGAUCUUGAGAUCCUAAUUUCGUCAAUCCAUGAAUCUGCACCCUACGUACCAAAGUGUGGCUGAGAAAGCUAAGAACGAGGGGGCACUUGCGGAGAGAUCUGCAUCAAAGGGAAGUUUUGGCAUACGGAUAAGCGUUUGAACAAAUGACUGAACAAAGCAGGAGUAUAAUUUCAAAUUUAGUGGCGGGAUGGCGAAUAUGGGGGAGCGGAAGGCGAGCAAGUGGGGGAUGGAGGGGAAGAGCAAUGGACAUCGAAGCUUAGCUGACGGAGUGGAGAAUUUUGAUGGAGGAGGAAGAGGAGUGGGAGAGAUGAAAGCACCACUAGGGGCGGGGGAAUUUAGCUUGAUAUAUAGUAAUUUCUCCAUUAAUUGAGAAAUAGUACUAGUGGUCCAUAUAAUUGCAGUUGCAAAAGUUAUUGCAUGGUAUUGAUACAAUCAUUUACUAUAAUCAUUCCACAUAUUGUAACAUAGUUUCAUAAUCAUUGUAGGAUUGUAAGUUUUUUUAGUUAAGAUUUAGGGAUUCAAUUAAGCUAAGGCCGGUCGCUUCCUAGCUAGUUAAUUAAUAUUGGAUUAACUAGGGAUAAAGGAAUCAUAAUGGAUUAACCCUUAAUAUGGAUGUGGUGAGUGGCAUGGUAAAAAAAUAAGGAGUAACAGACAGUUUGAGGUUGUGGACAGAUGGAAAAACCAGAAGCAGGGUGUUUAAAAUGUAACUUUGACGGGGCUUGGAAGGAACAGGGAAAAAGGGGGGGAUUGGAGUGGUGUUCAGAGAUGACAUGGGGCUGUUUUUGGCGGCAAUGGCAAUGAAAAUGGAAGGCAUAGCAUCUCCGAUGUUAGCAGAACUGGAGGCAGCACGAGCUGCAAUUCUGAUGGCCCAAGAGUUAAGCACGGAACAGCUGGAACUGAAGGGAGCGCAGCUUUGGUCCUUGCUGCUAUAACUCUUCACACGGAAGAUGAUUUGUCUUUGUGGGGAAAUAGAGUAAAUGAGGCACGCUAUUUCCUACGCUCCAUUCCACAAACCAAAAUCAAUCAUACUCGUAGAGAGACAGACAAGCUUGCUCACAGAUUGGCGCAGGUGGGUCUUACUUUAAAUCAACGACGAGUUUGGUUUGAGGAACUGCCUAAUGUAAUCACUUAUCUCCUGACAGAGGAUAGUUAAUUUUGUAAUUUUGUUGGUCACCUAACGAUUAAAUAACAAACAAAUAGUUCUCUCUCGUUUCUAUCUUCUUCUUCUUCAGCUAUCUUAACAAAUAUAAGAGGUCUUACAUUUCUCUACUUCUCAUUAAGUCGCCACAUUAGGAAUAUAUGGCAGUGCAUAGGUUUUCUUGAGGUUUAAGCAAUCGUGCUUAAGAUUAAUGGCUACUCUCCAAGUAUUCUGUAGGUUGCGCUUUAUUUGAUUUAAUUAUAUACAAGUUUAACAUAUAGAUGAACAACAAGUUGACGUUUUAGGGUACAAGUUUAACAUAUAUAUGAACAACAAGUUGACGUUUUAGGGUACAAGUGUCACAUGUAUAGCAUGAAAAAAUUGACAACGAUGUAAAAUAAGGCUGGUGCUAGAAAAUGACAUAGGUAUAACUUGUUUUUUUAUUGUAUAUCAACAUUAAUUUGACAACAUGGACCAACAUAAGUAAGAGAACUGCGAGGAAAAGAAAUAGGCGGCCGUGGGUAUGCUGUCUUGAAAAUGAUGUCUCCUUGUUUAUUUUUUUGACACGUGUUAUACCAAACUCUAACUUUAACUCUGUUAACUUUUAAUAAAUUAAAAAAUAUAUAUAAUAAAAGUAAAAUCAGUUGAGUUUCUACAACUGUUCAUCUUCUCUCCUCCACCAUUUUCUUGUCUGUUCAAAUACCCAAUUGUGAUCGACCCAGCCCGACAAACAACAAAUUUUAUGUAAAUUUUGGUUUGAAGAAGGAAGAAAUAUGGUCGAUCGUUAUAAACCCGAUUUGAAUCAACUGGAAAACAAUAAACGGCGAGAGUUGAACCGAUUGCAAGGUUUGAUUCAUUCAUCCUAUGCAGUUUCGCUAGUCAGAGAUAGAAAGAGAGAGUGAAAAUGAAGCUUGAAUGGUAGUGAGAAUUGCCGUGGACAACAACAAUUGGUUGGGCUGUUGGGGUUACUGUUUUUGCUGGGAAAAAGAUUGGAAGGAGCUCCAGACUUCUUGUGUUGGGUUUUGGUGUGUUUAUUGUUUUGGUUUUCUUUAAUGGUGGAGGAGAGAAAAAAAGAGGUUUCGCCAGGGAUGAAGAUGAGUUUGUUUGCUGAGAAAAGAUUGGAGGAAGUUCCAGACUUCCAUUGUGUUUGUUGUUUUGUAUUUCUUUAAUGGAAUAAAUUUUUGUUUUCAAAUACAUAUUAGGAGAGAACCGUCAACUGAUUUUACUUUUAUUAUAUAUUUUUUUAAUUUAUCAAAAGUUAACCGAGUUAAAGUUAGAGUUAGUGAAAUGACACGUGUCAAAAAAAUAAACAAGAAGACACCAUUUUCGGGAUAGCAGACCCACGGCCGAAAUAGGCUGCCUAUAAAAUGACAAAAUACUUAAGCCUCAAGCUAACGGAGUCCCUUAUAUAUUUAGGGCACAUACAUAAUCUUAAUCAUCUUUUUCAAAAUACUAAUGACGAAUUUUCAAUUAAUUAACCCUUCUGCAAUCAGUCCUAAUCUCUCCAUUGGUGCCUGCAAAACUCCUAUGUUUCCCAUAUUGAUCAUGGACUGACCAAAGCUAUCAAAGAAGUCACUUUGGCUAUUUGCAAAGCGGUCCACAAUGGCAACGGUGUCUCCGCUAGUUGAGAACAGCACCUGAUCGGUCUGGAGAAGCCCGCGGUUGUUUUGGAGAUUUGUAAAGUAGUGGUUGUCGAAGGCAUCGCGGGUGGACUGGUCAAGGUCAUUCAACGUAUCUCCGCUUCCGUUUUGAGGACAUGCUUGGCGGAGGGUUUCCAAGUAUCCGGCUUCAAUGGUCGGGUCCGGGUUGCCAGUGUCGUUGAAAUUGUAGAGGCGGUGAACGAAAGUUGAACAUCUUGCCCGGC
This 34015-nucleotide long non-coding RNA is filed under the name Malus domestica (apple). RNAcentral describes it as "long non-coding RNA (MDOM_LNC002298)". The record is from RNAcentral. Lineage: Eukaryota; Viridiplantae; Streptophyta; Magnoliopsida; Rosales; Rosaceae.